ACGUAGGAGGCAAACGUUAUCCGGAUUUACUGGGCGUAAAGCGCGUGUAGGUGGUUCUGUAAGUAGGGCGUGAAAGCUCCUGGCUCAACUGGGAGAGGCCGUUCUAAACUGCAGAGCUAGAGGAUGGUAGAGGGAGGUGGAAUUCCGGGUGCAGCGGUUGAAUGCGCAGAUAUCCGGCGGAACACCAGAGGCGAGAGCGGCCUCCUGGACGAUUCCUGAUACUCAGACGCGUAAGCUAGGGUAGGGAACGG
This 251-nucleotide ribosomal RNA is filed under the name uncultured prokaryote. RNAcentral's name for it is "partial 16S rRNA". It matches the Rfam family "Bacterial small subunit ribosomal RNA", at positions 525 to 775 of the family's 1533-position model. The record is from RNAcentral.